AAGAGUUUGAUCAUGGCUCAGAUUGAACGCUGGCGGCAGGCCUAACACAUGCAAGUCGAACGGUAACAGGAAGCAGCUUGCUGCUUCGCUGACGAGUGGCGGACGGGUGAGUAAUGUCUGGGAAACUGCCUGAUGGAGGGGGAUAACUACUGGAAACGGUGGCUAAUACCGCAUAACGUCGCAAGACCAAAGAGGGGGACCUUCGGGCCUCUUGCCAUCAGAUGUGCCCAGAUGGGAUUAGCUAGUUGGUGAGGUAACGGCUCACCAAGGCGACGAUCCCUAGCUGGUCUGAGAGGAUGACCAGCCACACUGGAACUGAGACACGGUCCAGACUCCUACGGGAGGCAGCAGUGGGGAAUAUUGCACAAUGGGCGCAAGCCUGAUGCAGCCAUGCCGCGUGUAUGAAGAAGGCCUUCGGGUUGUAAAGUACUUUCAGCGGGGAGGAAGGUGCUGUGGUUAAUAACCGCAGCAAUUGACGUUACCCGCAGAAGAAGCACCGGCUAACUCCGUGCCAGCAGCCGCGGUAAUACGGAGGGUGCAAGCGUUAAUCGGAAUUACUGGGCGUAAAGCGCACGCAGGCGGUCUGUCAAGUCGGAUGUGAAAUCCCCGGGCUCAACCUGGGAACUGCAUUCGAAACUGGCAGGCUUGAGUCUUGUAGAGGGGGGUAGAAUUCCAGGUGUAGCGGUGAAAUGCGUAGAGAUCUGGAGGAAUACCGGUGGCGAAGGCGGCCCCCUGGACAAAGACUGACGCUCAGGUGCGAAAGCGUGGGGAGCAAACAGGAUUAGAUACCCUGGUAGUCCACGCCGUAAACGAUGUCUACUUGGAGGUUGUGCCCUUGAGGCGUGGCUUCCGGAGCUAACGCGUUAAGUAGACCGCCUGGGGAGUACGGCCGCAAGGUUAAAACUCAAAUGAAUUGACGGGGGCCCGCACAAGCGGUGGAGCAUGUGGUUUAAUUCGAUGCAACGCGAAGAACCUUACCUGGUCUUGACAUCCACAGAACUUUCCAGAGAUGGAUUGGUGCCUUCGGGAACUGUGAGACAGGUGCUGCAUGGCUGUCGUCAGCUCGUGUUGUGAAAUGUUGGGUUAAGUCCCGCAACGAGCGCAACCCUUAUCC
This 1114-nucleotide ribosomal RNA is filed under the name Salmonella enterica. RNAcentral describes it as "bacterial SSU rRNA". It matches the Rfam family "Bacterial small subunit ribosomal RNA", at positions 1 to 1110 of the family's 1533-position model. Lineage: Bacteria; Pseudomonadati; Pseudomonadota; Gammaproteobacteria; Enterobacterales; Enterobacteriaceae. The record is from RNAcentral.